Molecule: ribosomal RNA, 355 nt
Filed under: uncultured bacterium
Lineage: Bacteria
Description: partial 16S ribosomal RNA
Rfam family: Bacterial small subunit ribosomal RNA
Source: RNAcentral
CCUACGGGUGGCAGCAGUGGGGAAUAUUGCACAAUGGGGGAAACCCUGAUGCAGCGACGCCGCGUGAGUGAGGAAGUAUUUCGGUAUGUAAAGCUCUAUCAGCAGGGAAGGAAAUGACGGUACGUGACUAAGAAGCCCCGGACAACUACGUGCCAGCAGCCGCGGUAAUACGUAGGGGGCAAGCGUUAUCCGGAUUUACUGGGUGUAAAGGGAGCGUAGACGGUUAAUCAAGUCAGAAGUGAAAACCUAGGGCUCAACCUUGGGACCGCUUUUGAAACUGAGUAGCUAGAGUGCAGGCGAGGUAAGCGGAAUUACUAAAGUAGCGGUGAAAUGCGUAGAUAUUACGGAGAACACC